UUUUCUCCCCGUGCCAACAAUCUAUUAUCAAUUUUGUCAACCCUCUAAUAUUUUUACUUUAAAAUAACCAAAAUGACAUAUUCAACAAAAAGAGUAGAUUUUUGUGUAUAAUCAUACCUCCUUUCGAUUUUCUUCCAGUACAUAAAUCAAUUUUAUUUGACCACUCGCUGACCGCUUGUAGUUUAGCAACAGAAGACUGACGACGGCAUACAAGAUGUUAAUUGGAAACGUGUGCUAUGGACACUUUUUAAAAUAAGGCGUUUACACUGACCCUUUGGUUUGAAGAAAUUUUAUGUUAGAAAAUGAUUUUUAAGGAAUAAUUCAUUAAAAACAAGUCCUUUAGGAAAAUGUUAGUCAAAAAUCAGGAAAAAUGUCAAUUAAAUUCAAGAAAACCCCGAAAAAUCUGUCAAAUGUUUCUUAACUCGGUAAAGUUCAAACGGAAAACAGCAAAAUUGGGCAAAAAAGCUUUUAUUUGUUAUAGUUCUAAGGUUCUAUGGCUGUUAGCAAUCCAAUUCAAUAUUGUAUAGAAGAUAUUUUCCUUUUCCGAAAAAGUUUAUACAAGAAAAUGUCAAUCUUUAUACCUAAACAAAUCUUCCAAUACUUUUCGUUUACUGGGAAACAAUUUUUUACUGAUCCAAGAAUUGUCUUAUACUCGCUUUUCAAUUUGCAAAUACAAAAAAUAUUGCAUAUUAUUUGAAAAUGGAAAAUUCACAAAUCUAAUAUCUAUCAAAAUUACAAUGGAAUCACAAAAAAGGAUUUUCUCCAUAAAUCCUCCAUACUUAUAAGCUUUUCGCAAUCCGUUAUCUAAAAAAGUAUUCAAAUUGCAAAAAAGUAAGGUUACCUAAAAACUAAAAAAAAAAUAUAAGAAUAAGAAAAACAUGAGGAGGCAACAUACAAAAAAAAUAUAGAUAACAGAGAAGGGAUAAGCUGCUACAUAUUAAAUCGUUGCAAGGCAACGCACACAAUAUUCCUAUAUAGAACCAAGCGAAUUCCUUCAAAGGAUGACGACGUGUUCUUCUGGAAAACAUUAUUUCUCAAGGAUGAUUGAGGAUAUAUGGAAGAAACAUCUCUAUAUGCGAACAUAUUCAUAUUCUAAUGUCAAGAUAUGAUUCAAGAGACAAUAAAAAAAAAAUAUUUAUAUUGGAAUUUUAAUAAGAAAACUGAACAAAAACGACGACUCAGUGAGGUACGAGAGUAGGUGCACACGCUAUUACUUGUGUUGUUUCUUAUUUCUGCAGAAAUUUCAAAAUCGUACAAUUGAAUGUUUUUUAUUUAUUUUUUUUUUAUUCUGGAAUCGACAGGAAUUUAGAAUAAUAUCAAGAUAUAUAUGUACCCCAGAAAGUU
Molecule: long non-coding RNA, 1344 nt
Organism: Episyrphus balteatus (marmalade hoverfly)
Lineage: Eukaryota; Metazoa; Arthropoda; Insecta; Diptera; Syrphidae
Exons: 3
Source: RefSeq, a predicted model, not a curated record